This 375-nucleotide ribosomal RNA is filed under the name Triticum aestivum (bread wheat). RNAcentral's name for it is "partial small subunit ribosomal RNA". Lineage: Eukaryota; Viridiplantae; Streptophyta; Magnoliopsida; Poales; Poaceae. The record is from RNAcentral.
AUGCAUGAUAUUGCACCUGCUCAGAUAGAGGAAAUUGAUGUUACAAUUAAGCUUGCUAAUAGAGACACUAUUUCACCAGUUGGGAUUGUUAGAGAUGUUGAAGUCUUGUGUGGGAAAGUUAAAUAUCCGGCUGAUUUUCUUGUUCUUGGUUCUCCACAAGAUAACUUUUGUCCCAUUAUAUUUGGAAGACCCUUCUUGAAUACUGUUAAUGCUAGGAUAGAUUGCAAAAAAUAUGUUGUUACUAUUGGUUUGGGGGAUAUGUAUCAUGAGUUUAAUUUUGCUAAAUUUCAUAGACAACCCCAUGAUAAAGAAUUACCUAGUAAAGUGAAAUUAUUGGUCUUGCUUCUAUUGCCGUGCCUCCUAAUGAUCCUUUAG